Molecule: unclassified non-coding RNA, 289 nt
Filed under: Hevea brasiliensis (rubber tree)
Lineage: Eukaryota; Viridiplantae; Streptophyta; Magnoliopsida; Malpighiales; Euphorbiaceae
Source: RNAcentral
CUUGCGUAUCCGUUGGGAGUCGACUCGUAGCCAUACAAAGGAGCGUGCUCUAGGAAUGAUAGAAAAAUUGGUUGAGGGCAUUCAUAAACCUUUUACUGGAGUGGCUAACAGGAUUCUUCUUUCUUAUGUGGCUUAUGUUCCUGCUAUUCCAAUCCUGCAGAAGGAAUAUGGUGAACUUUUAGUGAGCUGUGGUUUGAUUGGGGAGGCAAUCAAAAUCUUUGAGGGUUUAGAGUUGUGGGACAAUUUAAUAUACUGUAACUGCUUAUUGGGGAAAAAAGCAGCAGCUGUU